This 399-nucleotide ribosomal RNA is filed under the name uncultured bacterium. RNAcentral's name for it is "bacterial SSU rRNA". It matches the Rfam family "Bacterial small subunit ribosomal RNA", at positions 975 to 1375 of the family's 1533-position model. The record is from RNAcentral.
CAGGGCUUGACAUCCUCUGAAUGCCAUAGAGAUAUGGAGUUCUCUUCGGAGACAGAGAGACAGGUGGUGCAUGGUUGUCGUCAGCUCGUGUCGUGAGAUGUUGGGUUAAGUCCCGCAACGAGCGCAACCCCUGUACUUAGUUGCCAGCAUUAAGUUGGGCACUCUAAGUAGACUGCCGGUGACAAACCGGAGGAAGGUGGGGAUGACGUCAAAUCAUCAUGCCCCUUAUGUCCUGGGCUACACACGUGCUACAAUGGUCGGUACAGAGGGCAGCAAAGCCGUGAGGUGGAGCAAAUCCCAAAAAGCCGAUCACAGUUCGGAUUGUAGGCUGAAACUCGCCUACAUGAAGUCGGAAUCGCUAGUAAUCGCAGGUCAGCAUACUGCGGUGAAUACGUUCCC